Molecule: long non-coding RNA, 457 nt
Filed under: Glycine max (soybean)
Lineage: Eukaryota; Viridiplantae; Streptophyta; Magnoliopsida; Fabales; Fabaceae
Description: long non-coding RNA (GMAX_LNC003596)
Source: RNAcentral
CUGUCAUUUGAGAAGGCAGUGGCGGGCGUUGAUGCCCCAACACCUGAUGUGGAGCACCAGAAGGUGUGUUAUGUGCUGCUCCAGCCAUUUGAGAAGGUGGAUAAUGUGCUCCUGUCAUUUGAGGAGGAGGAGGUGUUGGACGCUGCUGUGCUGCCAUUUGUGUUUGAAACCCAGAAGGUGGGUUAUGUGCUGCUCCAGCCAUUUGAGAAGGUGGAUAAUGUGCUCCUGUCAUUUGAGGAGGAGGAGGUGUUGGAGGCUGCUGUGCAGCCAUUUGUGUUUGAAAACCAGAAGGUGGGUUAUGUGCUGCUCCAGCCAUUUGAGAAGGUGGAUAAUGUGCUCCUGUCAUUUGAGGAGGAGGUGUUGGAUGCCACUGUGCUGCCAUUUGUGUUUGAAACCCAGAAGGUGGGUUAUGUGCUGCCCCUGCCAUUUGGGAGGGGAACCUGACCGGUGGUGGUGG